Molecule: long non-coding RNA, 2058 nt
Organism: Chrysemys picta bellii (western painted turtle)
Lineage: Eukaryota; Metazoa; Chordata; Testudines; Emydidae
Source: Ensembl
GCCCCCUAGAGGAGACGCAAAUCAAAGCGCGCACACAGAUCCCUUUAAAAUAAAAUGUCCCUUUUAUUUCUCGUUCCUCUGGAUCAAAGACUCGUUAGUGGCCGAGGCGCUAAUUGGGAUGGCAGGCGGGGUCCCCCCCAGCUCCCGCCAGUCACCUCUCUCCUCUGCCUAUAGGUCUCUGCUCUACAGCCCAGGGGCUGGGGGCUGGCCCCCUACAGCGGGGGGGUUAGACGUUAAUUGGGGCUGGCUCCCUGGGAGUGGCCGGGCCCCGUGUUGCUGCCGGGCUCACUUGUCUGGCUGGCCGGCCCCUGCUCUCUCUUCUGGUGCACUCGCCCGCUCUGUCUUGCCCCCUUGCUCUCUCGUUCCCUCCUUUUUCGAUGGGCCCCUUUUCAUCUGUGCUUUUUCACUCCUUCAUUCCUUCAUUCAUCCGUUCACUCUCUCGUUCCUCCUUUCGCUCCUUCUUUCUGGCCUUUCAUUCUUUCCCCCCUCCUUCUUUCACCAUUGUUUUGCUUUUUUCCACACUUUUUUCCUUCCUUCUUUCUCUCUUCAUUCUUUUCCCCCACGCAUUCCUUCGCCUUAAUUUAUUCUUUCAACUCUUUUUGCUCAUUCAUUCCUUCGUUCAUUUAUUCAUUCAUUCGUCCAUUCAUUCUUUUUUAAUUUCUCCAUUCUUCCCCCCAUCCAUUCACUCUACUCUUUCACUUCUUCUUUCCUUCCCUUUCACUCCUUCCUUCCUCCAUUCAUCCUUUCUGCUCUCUCACACUCAUUCUUCCACUCCUCCAUUCAUCCUUCUGCUUUCCCCAUUUUCUCUCCCUUGGGAUUCUUAUAGGGAAACCCUCCUCCUUCAGCCCACAACCCUUCUCAGGGGCAUAGGCCCCUGGCAUCAAACCCAGGUAGACGGAGGGACGGGUCAGCAGGAGGCGGCCAGGGGGCGCAGCCCCGGUCUCUCUCCUUCCCCCUGUUUGGUUCUGUCCGGCCCAGCAGCACUCGGACGGGGGCGGGGAGGAGGGGCAGCCGGUCCACGUGUUAGUCAGGGGUGGGGGCCGUGGGUCGGAUUCUAGGUCAGCAAGUCCAUUCGGUAUCGGGGGCCUGGUUCCUCUUGGCUGGCGCCGACGUAAGAUGCCUGCAUGCUGGGUGAGUACUGGGGGGAGGGGGAGAGAUGGGGGGAGAGAUGAGAGGGAAUAGACUGGAGGGGAUGAUGCGACGCGCUGUACCUCAAAGCAACCUCCUGGAACCCCAGCAUUCACCCCUGUUUGGUAUCAUUUGAACGUGUGGCCUGGUGGACUGUGUGUGUUACCAUUGCGUGGGACGUUAUGAAGUUUUGCUCUCUGUGUGCUACUGAUAAUCUGUAGUGAGCGGGGAGGCCAGGGACCCCAUCCCUGCCCAUCCUGCUAACAGCCAUUGAUGGGACCGAUCCUCCAGGAACGUAUCUAGUUCCUUUUUGAACUGCCCGACCAACGGGGACUGCCUGACCCGCCAGGAUCUUUCUAGCAGCUGGAAGCAAGUAUAAAAAGGGACAGUGACAUCUUCACUUGGCCUCUCGCCUCCCCCAUCGCCACAGCCGGAAAAUGGUCCAGAAGACAAAGACUUUGAGCUAGGGAGACUGGUCCCAGGCUGGAAGGGAACCCAGCCUGGGUAGUGAGGAGCUGGGAACUGCCUGUUAGGGGGAGAGGUUGUUCGAUUCACAUCUUGCUCAGACGGUUAAAUUGAGACACCGUUUCUAGUUUUAUUUCGUAGGUAACCGACUCUGCUCUCUGAGCCUGCUACCGAGAGUCACUCUCUCUUGCUGGAGUUCAUAAACCUGUUUGAUGUUUUACCCAAACCAGCGUGGAUCCACUCCCCUUUUGCUGGAACGGCAAACUAAUGAAUGAGCUUGCAGCGUCCAAGGGAGUGCCGAGCAGUGGCAGACGGUAUAUUGCUGGGGUGCCAGGCUGGGGGGACUGGCUGGGGUCCCUCUCUGAGAGGUUCAGGGAGCCGUCACGCCAUGUCGCUGGGGUGUGCGGGGCUGCACGUGAUUGCUGCACCGGCAGGGGGUUCGCGGCUUGUCACCGCGGCGGUACU